This 408-nucleotide ribosomal RNA is filed under the name uncultured bacterium. Its description in RNAcentral is "partial 16S ribosomal RNA". It matches the Rfam family "Bacterial small subunit ribosomal RNA", at positions 28 to 526 of the family's 1533-position model. The record is from RNAcentral.
GACGAACGCUGGCGGCGUGCUUAACACAUGCAAGUCGAACGAAGUGGCGAACGGGUGAGUAACGCGUAAUCAACCUGCCCUUCAGAGGGGGACAACAGUUGGAAACGACUGCUAAUACCGCAUACUGAAGGAGGGGAUUGGGUCGGAUAAGCAAGUUGGAGGGGUAACGGCCCACCAAGGCGAUGAUCAGUAGCCGGGCUGAGAGGAUGAACGGCCAGCUUGGGACUGAGAAACGGCCCCGACUCCUACGGGAGGCAGCAGUGGGGAAUCUUCCGCAAUGGACGAAAGUCUGACGGAGCAACGCCGCGGGAGUGAUGACGGCCUUCGGGUUGUAAAGCUCUGUUAAUCGGGACGCGGUACCGGAAUAGAAAGCCACGGCUAACUACGUGCCAGCCGCCGCGGUAAUUC